Molecule: ribosomal RNA, 750 nt
Filed under: uncultured haloarchaeon
Lineage: Archaea; Methanobacteriati; Methanobacteriota; Halobacteria; Halobacteriales; Halobacteriaceae
Description: bacterial SSU rRNA
Rfam family: Archaeal small subunit ribosomal RNA
Source: RNAcentral
CCCUAUAGAUCCGGAUAACCUCGGGGAAACUGAGGCUAAUCCGGAAUAGGGCUCUCAUGCUGGAACUGCAGAGAGCUCGAAACGCUCCGGCGCUAUAGGAUGUGGCUGCGGCCGAUUAGGUAGACGGUGGGGUAACGGCCCACCGUGCCAAUAAUCGGUACGGGUUGUGAGAGCAAGAGCCCGGAGACGGUAUCUGAGACAAGAUACCGGGCCCUACGGGGCGCAGCAGGCGCGAAACCUUUACACUGCACGACAGUGCGAUAAGGGGACUCCGAGUGCGAGGGCAUAUAGUCCUCGCUUUUCACCACCGUAAGGAGGUGGUGGAAUAAGUGCUGGGCAAGACCGGUGCCAGCCGCCGCGGUAAUACCGGCAGCACGAGUGAUGGCCGCUCUUAUUGGGCCUAAAGCGUCCGUAGCUGGCCAGGCAAGUCCAUCGGGAAAUCCGCACGCUCAACGUGCGGGCGUCCGGUGGAAACUGCCUGGCUUGGGACCGGAAGACCCGAGGGGUACGUCCGGGGUAGGAGUGAAAUCCCGUAAUCCUGGACGGACCACCGGUGGCGAAAGCGCCUCGGGAAGACGGAUCCGACGGUGAGGGACGAAAGCUCGGGUCACGAACCGGAUUAGAUACCCGGGUAGUCCGAGCUGUAAACGAUGUCUGCUAGGUGUGACACAGGCUACGAGCCUGUGUUGUGCCGCAGGGAAGCCGUGAAGCAGACCGCCUGGGAAGUACGUCCGCAAGGAUGAAAUUCAA